GAACUCUGCUUAUCGCUCACGCCACGGAGGAAACCCGGGAAGGCAAUUUCCUUCAAUUUUUGGUGUCAGAAGUGGGAUCCCUGACAGAAGCUUUUCCCCUCCACAGUUCCACCAGUGGAGACAAGGAGACGCAUGUUGGAGAAGCCACUAAAACCAAGGACUCUCUGGGAGGCCGCGCGUGUUCCAGCCCCAGACUGUACUGGCAGUGACGAAGAACCAGCAUCCUCAUAGACGGACAACCUCAGUGGAUUCAUGCCAGCAGGGUUAAGACCAGCCCAAUCGGACCAUCUCAGGCGUCGGAUCAAGCAGACGAC
Astatotilapia calliptera (eastern happy) is the source of this 314-nucleotide long non-coding RNA. Lineage: Eukaryota; Metazoa; Chordata; Actinopteri; Cichliformes; Cichlidae. The record is from Ensembl.